CCAAACUUUUUGCAGUAGUAUACAGACAUCUAAGAUGUUCAUUCUCCUUUAUGCCUGCUGUGAUUACCCAUGUUCCCCCCAGAUUUCAAUCCUUCACCCAGGUCUCCCUGUUCUAUUCUUACCUGUGGACCCCAUCUCUGCUCAGAAGUCCUUCUUGGAACAGCAUCCCAUGGUCGAAGAAGCCAAAGAUGAGUACUUCUCACAAAGGUGGCAUUGUGUAAAAUUAUAAGCUUUUCAUGAAAGUGACUGCCUGAUUCCCCCUUCUUCUGUUUGAACAGCACUUAAUACAAAGAGACCUUUAGAUGAGCGUAUUCCCAAGGACAAAUUUAAAAGCACUAAUGCAGUUUUAUCUGUUUGAAGUGGCCUCUGUUAUCAACAUUCACUGAGCAAGAGGGCCCAAGCUCUAGUGUUAUUCAUCCCUCUCUUGGGCCCUGAUUCUGUAAGGCAAUCAGAUGGGAAGAGCCCUUCGCCUCCAUGAAGCCCCCCUGAGUUCAGAGGGACCCCAGACAGAGGUGUUACUUUGGGUGUCAGCCCCAACUAGCCCUUCAGGUACAACAAUGGAAAAACCAGACAGGGCUAAUGGCCCAUUAGCAUAGACAAUGGAAUGUGAAUGAGCUUAGUCUUCUUGUGGAUGCUCCAAACAGCCUGCAAGUAAUGACUGCCACAACCCUGCAAAGACAUGAGUCCGAGUCACCUGCUACUGGACCCACACUUCAGAAUGCCAGUGUUCUUCCACUGGGAGACAAAGGGUUCCCACCAUACACAAGAGCUAUAUAAGGCAUGGGAGUGACAUCAUCGUGGUUCUCCUCUGCCUCCCCACCCAAAGAGACACUGAAAAAUACCUGGAAGCAAGAACUGAACCGGGGUGGGGGAAGGGUUGAGUCCAAGCUAGAAGGGCAUAUAGCUUGUGAGUAACAAUACCUGAGGUCUCAAGCCAGAGACCUGUGUAGCUGCCUUUCAAGACUUUCUGUAAUCUGCCUGCAACAAUAUCUAGGCAGGCAAUGGAAUGUUUCUCUGGGGCUGGGCAUGAACGGAUAUGAACAGAGAUUAGAAAGAAACUUUCUGCAAUAGCAGAAGACCAGAAAUCACCUGUGAAAAUUGGUAAUGUUGAAUAAAACAUGCAAAGAGCUAUGCCAAGUG
Mauremys reevesii (Reeves's turtle) is the source of this 1140-nucleotide long non-coding RNA. RefSeq lists it as uncharacterized. The record is from RefSeq and is a predicted model, not a curated record. NCBI's taxonomy places the organism in Eukaryota, Metazoa, Chordata, Testudines, Geoemydidae. The transcript is spliced from 7 exons.